UACGGAGGGUGCAAGCGUUGUCCGGAUUUAUUGGGUUUAAAGGGUGCGUAGGCGGUCUUUUAAGUCAGUGGUGAAAUCCUCCAGCUUAACUGGAGAACUGCCAUUGAUACUGGGAGACUUGAGUACAGACGAGGUAGGCGGAAUUGACAGUGUAGCGGUGAAAUGCGUAGAUAUUGGGAGGAACACCAGUGGCGAAGGCGGCUACCUGGACCGGUUCUGACGCUGAGGCGCGAAAGCGUGGGUAGCAAACAGG
Molecule: ribosomal RNA, 253 nt
Filed under: uncultured bacterium
Lineage: Bacteria
Description: partial 16S ribosomal RNA
Rfam family: Bacterial small subunit ribosomal RNA
Source: RNAcentral